GUAACUUCUGAUCCCGUCUAGAUUUGUGGCUGAUAGUGAAGGGAAGUUGGUUCCCAAUCCCGAUUUUGUAACGUAUCAUUAGUAAGAUAAGCUUCUUGCUUCUUGGCUUUUAUCUAAUAUUAGUACUAAUCUUCUAUUGUGUUUUACAAGAACCACCUCUGCUCGUGAAGUCUAGACUAAGGCUUGUCAACUGUUUGCUGCAGUUUCCAGUGGUAAAGUCUCUCACCUGAAACAUGAUUUACACUUGAUCAAGAAAGGGCAUUUAUCUGUCAAAGAGUAUCUGGCAAAAAUUAAAGUUACCUGUGAUUUGCUUCACACCUCUAGUCAUCUCAUUUCCAUCAAGGAGCAAGUUGAGAUUGUUCUAGCCGAUUUUUUAACUAAAUUCGAGUCUAUGCUCACCAUUGUAUCUUUCUCAUCAGAGCCUCUAGCUAUAGACCACAUUUUGGAUAUACUGUUAAAGUGUGAAUGACGACAACAUCGAUUUAUCUCAAAGAUCC
RNAcentral lists this long non-coding RNA (497 nucleotides) under Gossypium raimondii (Peruvian cotton). Its description in RNAcentral is "long non-coding RNA (GRAI_LNC010309)". The record is from RNAcentral. Lineage: Eukaryota; Viridiplantae; Streptophyta; Magnoliopsida; Malvales; Malvaceae.